This 253-nucleotide ribosomal RNA is filed under the name uncultured prokaryote. Its description in RNAcentral is "partial 16S ribosomal RNA". It matches the Rfam family "Bacterial small subunit ribosomal RNA", at positions 525 to 777 of the family's 1533-position model. The record is from RNAcentral.
ACGUAGGCAGCGAGCGUUGUUCGGAGUUACUGGGCGUAAAGAGUGCGUAGGCGGUUUUCUAAGUUUGGUGUGAAAUCUCCCGGCUUAACUGGGAGGGUGCGCCGAAAACUGGAAGGCUUGAGUGUGGGAGAGGUAAGCGGAAUUCCUGGUGUAGCGGUGAAAUGCGUAGAUAUCUGGAGGAACACCGAUGGCGAAGGCAGCCCCCUGGGCUAACACUGACGCUGAUGCACGAAAGCGUGGGGAGCAAACAGGA